Molecule: unclassified non-coding RNA, 308 nt
Filed under: uncultured fungus
Lineage: Eukaryota; Fungi
Description: partial contains 18S rRNA, ITS1, 5.8S rRNA
Source: RNAcentral
GCGGAAGGAUCAUUAACGCGCAGGCCGGAGGCUGGCCCCCCACGAUAGGGCCGACGUUCCAUCAGGGGUGAGCAGACGUGCGCCGGCCGUACGCCCCCAUUCUUGUCUACCUCACCCGGUUGCCUCGGCGGGCCGCGCUCCCCCUGCCAGGGAGAGCCGUCCGGCGGGCCCCUUCUGGGAGCCUCGAGCCGGACCGCGCCCGCCGGAGGACAGACACCAAGAAAAAAUUCUCUGAAGAGCUGUCAGUCUGAGCGUUUAGCAAGCACAAUCAGUUAAAACUUUCAACAACGGAUCUCUUGGUUCCGGCA